UACGGAGGGGCUAGCGUUGUUCGGAAUUACUGGGCGUAAAGCGCACGUAGGCGGAUCGGAAAGUUGGGGGUGAAAUCCCGGGGCUCAACCCCGGAACUGCCUCCAAAACUAUCGGUCUGGAGUCCGAGAGAGGUGAGUGGAAUUCCGAGUGUAGAGGUGAAAUUCGUAGAUAUUCGGAGGAACACCAGUGGCGAAGGCGGCUCACUGGCUCGGUACUGACGCUGAGGUGCGAAAGCGUGGGGAGCAAACAGGAUUAGAUACCCGCGUAGUCCCUGAGCGGGCU
RNAcentral lists this ribosomal RNA (283 nucleotides) under uncultured prokaryote. RNAcentral's name for it is "partial 16S ribosomal RNA". It matches the Rfam family "Bacterial small subunit ribosomal RNA", at positions 524 to 817 of the family's 1533-position model. The record is from RNAcentral.